RNAcentral lists this ribosomal RNA (251 nucleotides) under Oxyrrhis marina. Its description in RNAcentral is "partial Bacterial large subunit ribosomal RNA". It matches the Rfam family "Bacterial large subunit ribosomal RNA", at positions 1464 to 1715 of the family's 2925-position model. Lineage: Eukaryota; Dinophyceae; Oxyrrhinales; Oxyrrhinaceae. The record is from RNAcentral.
CUAGGGGGACGGAGAAGGCUAGAUCGACCGAAUGUUGGUUAUCGGCUUAAGUAUUCGAGGUGAUGAGGUCCGGUGAAAACGGUCUGAGCUAAGAUGCGAAUAGGAAAGUGUUAAGACACUGAACCGAUUAAUGUCAUACUUCCAAGAAAAGCCCUAACUACCAUAAGCAAUAAAUACCUGUACCCGAAACCGACACAGGUGGGAUGGUAGAGUAUACCGAGGCGCUUGAGAGAAUGGUGUUGAAGGAACUA